Molecule: ribosomal RNA, 497 nt
Filed under: uncultured bacterium
Lineage: Bacteria
Description: partial 16S ribosomal RNA
Rfam family: Bacterial small subunit ribosomal RNA
Source: RNAcentral
GAUGAACGCUGGCGGCGUGCCUAAUACAUGCAAGUCGAGCGAACAGACGAGGCGCUUGCUCCUCUGACGUUAGCGGCGGACGGGUGAGUAACACGUGGAUAACCUACCUAUAAGACUGGGAUAACUUCGGGAAACCGGAGCUAAUACCGGAUAAUAUAUUGAACCGCAUGGUUCAAUAGUGAAAGACGGUUUUGCUGUCACUUAUAGAUGGAUCCGCGCCGCAUUAGCUAGUUGGUAAGGUAACGGCCUACCAAGGCAACGAUGCGUAGCCGACCUGAGAGGGUGGUCGGCCGCCCUGGAGCUUGGCCACGGUCCAGGCUCCUGCGGGACGGCGCAGUAGGGAACGUUCCGCAAUGGGGGAGAGUAUUGCGGAGCAACGCCGCGUGUGUGAUGACGGUCCUGCGAUCGUAAUACUCUGUUAUUAGUGAAGAACAAAUGUGUAAGUAACUGUGCACGUCUUGACGGUACCUAGUCAGAAAGCCACGGCUAACUACGUG